This is a long non-coding RNA of Cyclopterus lumpus (lumpfish), 903 nucleotides long. RefSeq lists it as uncharacterized. The transcript has 3 exons. Lineage: Eukaryota; Metazoa; Chordata; Actinopteri; Perciformes; Cyclopteridae. The record is from RefSeq and is a predicted model, not a curated record.
CACAACACCAACUACAACCACAACACCAUCCAGAACAACUACCCCACAAACUACAACCACUGUUGUCGCUCUGAGAAUGAGACUUGUGUCUUCAACUCCACUGUCUGAGGACGUCAUCAGGAGUACCGUCAUACAACAGAUAAGAGAUGAACUGGUGAGACUGCUGUCAGUCACGACUGUACUCAUCAGAAGUGUGCCGUCAACUCCUACAACCACAGCGACCCCUGGUGGUUCAACGUGAACAUGUAUGAAACCCUGCAGGGACAUGUUGGUGUUUAGUUGUCAGAUUUACAAUGGCAAGGUCAGCAGUUUUACUUUUACUGUUAAAAAAACACCAUUUUAAAUCUUCUUAGAUUAAAAAAAACAAAAACAUUGAUAUCGAAAUAAAAUAUUUUUUGGGUUUUGUUUAUCAGGUUUUCCAGAGGUCACAUUGAAUUAUCGAUAUAGUAUCACUAUAUCGAUACACAAUAUACACACAGAUAUAAAUAAAGCUAUGACUACAUAUAUAAUGUAUAUUCACAAAUGUGUCCUCAGUAAAAAACAGACAUAUUUAUAAUUCAGCUCACUUAUGCAACAUCAAUGCACAUUACUAACUCCAGAGAUGUGUACGGAUUGUAUAGAUACUUGUGUAAAUAGUUUAUUGUUUUUUACAUUUCUUAUUGUUAGAAAUGUUUACAGUUUGUUAAAAUAUGAUAUGUUCCAUUUUGAUUCAACAUUCAGUUGCUUGGUGGUGUUUUUUGAAUAGGUAAAUAUAGAGGUAUGUUAAAUGAACUCUUGUUUUGUUUUAAAGAUUAAAGAAUGCUGUAUUUAAUGCUGUAUUUGCAUGUAUUGAACCCAUUAGUAAUAUACAAGUGAGAUAUAUAUUCUGGUACAUUUAGAACCUCGGCUAAACGGUCUUUACUA